This 615-nucleotide ribosomal RNA is filed under the name Papiliotrema laurentii. RNAcentral describes it as "partial large subunit ribosomal RNA". It matches the Rfam family "Eukaryotic large subunit ribosomal RNA", at positions 67 to 672 of the family's 3401-position model. Lineage: Eukaryota; Fungi; Basidiomycota; Tremellomycetes; Tremellales; Rhynchogastremaceae. The record is from RNAcentral.
AYCGGGGAUUCCCCUAGUACGGCGAGUGAACCGGGAAGAGCUCAAAUUUGAAAUCUGGCGUCCUCAGGGCGUCCGAGUUGUAAUCUAUAGAGGCGUUUUCCGUGCCGGACCGUGUCCAAGUUCCUUGGAACAGGAUAUCAAAGAGGGUGACAAUCCCGUACUUGACACGACGACCGGUGCUCUGUGAUACGUCUUCUACGAGUCGAGUUGUUUGGGAAUGCAGCUCAAAAUGGGUGGUGAGUUCCAUCUAAAGCUAAAUAUUGGCGAGAGACCGAUAGCGAACAAGUACCGUGAGGGAAAGAUGAAAAGCACUUUGGAAAGAGAGUUAAACAGUACGUGAAAUUGUUGAAAGGGAAACGAUUGAAGUCAGUCGUGACCGAGAGGCUCAGCCGGUUCUGCCGGUGUAUUCCCCUCGGUCGGGUCAACAUCAGUUUUGUCCGGUGGAUAAGGGCGGUAGGAAGGUGGCACCCUCGGGUGUGUUAUAGCCUGCCGUCGCAUACAUCGGGUGAGACUGAGGAACGCAGCUCGCCUUUAUGGCCGGGGUUCGCCCACGUCCGAGCUUAGGAUGUUGACAUAAUGGCUUUAAACGACCCGUCUUGAAAMMGGGAMCAAAAA